Molecule: long non-coding RNA, 653 nt
Organism: Prunus persica (peach)
Lineage: Eukaryota; Viridiplantae; Streptophyta; Magnoliopsida; Rosales; Rosaceae
Exons: 4
Source: RefSeq, a predicted model, not a curated record
AAAAGAAAAAAACGAAGACACUCAGAUGUGGAGGACGUUGCUGAAGAAGAAGGAACAAGGGUUGAAACCCACAACUCAAUUCUUUCACUGAAAAUGGUUCAUCAUUACCCAUUACAACAACUAUAACCUAAGAGCUCUCUUAUUCUGUCUUUGUGUCACAAAAAUUAUUUGCAAGAUCUUCAUAGUAGAGAGAAAAGAAGAAAAAGAGACAAAUGAUAUGUUGAAAGAGCCUCCAGUAGUCUCUCACUCGCCUAACUUUGCACUCCGUUUCUGAACAAGUAAUACCCAAGUUUUGAAGAACUUGUAGUACUCUUCUUCAAUUCCAAUUGCGAUGUCUACAAUCCUCAAGGUUGGUAUCAUGCCAAGGUUGUGUUGGUGCCGUGAAAAGGGUUCUUGGAAAACUUGAAGAUGGAAGAUUGUCUUGUUUCAAUUGGCGGCGUUCUUUUGGGGAGGAAAUUGCUAACUUUCAGCUUAAAUUCGGGUCUAAGAGGACAUGUCUUGGAAUUUUUCUUAUACAUAUGAAUUGUGUUAAAAUUCUAGACCAAGAGGAGAUGAAAUUUUUUUAUUUUUUGCCACUUUCUUAUGUAUAUCUUAAGAUGUAAUGAGAUAACAUUGUUAGUUCAUCAAUUUAUGAAAGUCAAGUUAGAAGGAAA